GAGUUUGAUCGUGGCUCAGAUUGAACGCUGGCGGCAGGCCUAACACAUGCAAGUCGAGCGGAUGAAGGGAGCUUGCUCCUGGAUUCAGCGGCGGACGGGUGAGUAAUGCCUAGGAAUCUGCCUGGUAGUGGGGAUAACGUCCGGAAACGGGCGCUAAUACCGCAUACGUCCUGAGGGAGAAAGUGGGGGAGUCUUCGGACCUCACGCUAUCAGAUGAGCCUAGGUCGGAUUAGCUAGUUGGUGGGGUAAAGGCCUACCAAGGCGACGAUCCGUAACUGGUCUGAGAGGAUGAUCAGUCACACUGGAACUGAGACACGGUCCAGACUCCUACGGGAGGCAGCAGUGGGGAAUAUUGGACCAAUGGGCGGAAAGCCUGA
RNAcentral lists this ribosomal RNA (377 nucleotides) under uncultured microorganism. RNAcentral describes it as "bacterial SSU rRNA". It matches the Rfam family "Bacterial small subunit ribosomal RNA", at positions 9 to 386 of the family's 1533-position model. The record is from RNAcentral.